This 590-nucleotide ribosomal RNA is filed under the name uncultured bacterium. RNAcentral's name for it is "bacterial SSU rRNA". It matches the Rfam family "Bacterial small subunit ribosomal RNA", at positions 263 to 864 of the family's 1533-position model. The record is from RNAcentral.
GCCUACCAAGGCGACGACGGGUAGCCGGCCUGAGAGGGCGACCGGCCACACUGGGACUGAGACACGGCCCAGACUCCUACGGGAGGCAGCAGUGGGGAAUAUUGCGCAAUGGGCGAAAGCCUGACGCAGCGACGCCGCGUGGGGGAUGAAGGCCUUCGGGUUGUAAACCCCUUUCGGCAGGGACGAAGCGAAAGUGACGGUACCUGCAGAAGAAGCGCCGGCUAACUACGUGCCAGCAGCCGCGGUAACACGUAGGGCGCAAGCGUUGUCCGGAAUCAUUGGGCGUAAAGAGCUCGUAGGCGGUCCGUUGCGUCCGCUGUGAAAACUCGGGGCUUAACCCCGAGCUUGCAGUGGAUACGGGCAGACUAGAGGUAGGUAGGGGAGAAUGGAAUUCCCGGUGUAGCGGUGAAAUGCGCAGAUAUCGGGAGGAACACCGGUGGCGAAGGCGGUUCUCUGGGCCUUACCUGACGCUGAGGAGCGAAAGCGUGGGGAGCGAACAGGAUUAGAUACCCUGGUAGUCCACGCCGUAAACGUUGGGCGCUAGGUGUGGGGUCCUUCCACGGACUCCGUGCCGCAGCUAACGCAUUAAG